This 269-nucleotide ribosomal RNA is filed under the name uncultured bacterium. RNAcentral describes it as "partial 16S ribosomal RNA". It matches the Rfam family "Bacterial small subunit ribosomal RNA", at positions 84 to 354 of the family's 1533-position model. The record is from RNAcentral.
AGGGUGACUUAGCGGCGGACGGGUGAGUAACGCGUGGGCAACCUGCCUUACACAGGGGGAUAACAAUUAGAAAUGAUUGCUAAUACCGCAUAAGACCCAGUACCGCAUGGUACAGGGGUAAAAACUGAGGUGGUGUAAGAUGGGCCCGCGUCUGAUUAGGUAGUUGGUGGGGUAGAAGCCUACCAAGCCGACGAUCAGUAGCCGACCUGAGAGGGCGACCGGCCGCAUUGGGACUGAGACACGGCCCAAACUCCUACGGAAGGCAGCAG